RNAcentral lists this transfer RNA (72 nucleotides) under Camelus bactrianus (Bactrian camel). It matches the Rfam family "tRNA". Rfam says of the family: Transfer RNA (tRNA) molecules are approximately 80 nucleotides in length. Their secondary structure includes four short double-helical elements and three loops (D, anti-codon, and T loops). RNAcentral also lists the same sequence under 2 other names. The record is from Rfam by way of RNAcentral. Lineage: Eukaryota; Metazoa; Chordata; Mammalia; Artiodactyla; Camelidae.
GGGGGUAUAGCUCAGUGGUUGAGUGUGGGCUUAGCAGGCUUGAGGUCCUGGGUUCAAUCCCCAGUCCCUCCA